GAAAAAGCAUCAAGAGAAUUGCAAUGGAGCAAGAAAUUAGGCACCAAUUGAAACCCUAUAAUUAGAAGACAAACAAAACUCCUGAAGUUUUCUCUUCUGCACUUUCCCCUAUCCCUAACUGAUGCAAAGUUGAAUGUCAAAACUAUGAUUUGUAGGCUGCAAUGCCUUAUGUGAGCAUAUCACUGAAAAUAGAAAGCAAUAGAGGCAUGGGUGAUAAGGGCAAGUAAAGAAGCAAAAUAAAAUUUGGUGAGAUUAAUGUAGAGAAUAGCUUUAGAUUUGUAAAACAAUUCUGUCAAUGGAGCAGUCACUAUGAUGCCAUUGGCCAAGAAGGUGAUGUUUAUGCCCACAAGAUUAACAUAUAAGUCAGUGAAUUUUAUUUUGUAACAUUAGAGCUGAAGUCUAGUGCCACAUGGAAUCAGAUAGAGCAUUGCUACAACCACAUUAAGAAAUGGAUACUCAACAUAACUCACCAU
RNAcentral lists this unclassified non-coding RNA (473 nucleotides) under Hevea brasiliensis (rubber tree). The record is from RNAcentral. Lineage: Eukaryota; Viridiplantae; Streptophyta; Magnoliopsida; Malpighiales; Euphorbiaceae.